RNAcentral lists this microRNA (21 nucleotides) under Capra hircus (goat). RNAcentral describes it as "chi-miR-197-5p". Its record names the gene chi-miR-197-5p. The record is from miRBase by way of RNAcentral. Lineage: Eukaryota; Metazoa; Chordata; Mammalia; Artiodactyla; Bovidae.
UCUGUGCUCCGGGGGCUGUGC